GAAUCCUGUAAUCUGAGU
Molecule: unclassified non-coding RNA, 18 nt
Filed under: Dictyostelium discoideum
Lineage: Eukaryota; Evosea; Eumycetozoa; Dictyosteliales; Dictyosteliaceae
Source: RNAcentral